AAUCACAUUGUUUAAGUGAUAGUUUUGUUUCAUGUCUACUAUCCAAUGUGAUACUUUCCUAUAUGAUUCAUUUGAAUAUGAUUUGGAACAAACUUCCUAAGUCAUAUUCAUUUGCUUUGGCCAAAGACUUUAGAAUCAUAUCUUAGAGUAUUCUCCCUCCACCAUGGAAGGUUAGAGAUCCCUUGUUGUGCAUUCAUAUGCCUACAUGACUAGAUAGCUGGACCCCAACAAUGCCGUGGACAAUCCGAAGGAAUGCCGUUGACAUGAUCAAAGAUCAAGGACCUAACCAUUAGACAUCUAUGAUGCCUCAGGUCAAAUGACUACUUUGCAUAUUGUAACUUUAGAGUUCAUACAUGACAUG
This 361-nucleotide long non-coding RNA is filed under the name Malus domestica (apple). RNAcentral's name for it is "long non-coding RNA (MDOM_LNC000085)". The record is from RNAcentral. Lineage: Eukaryota; Viridiplantae; Streptophyta; Magnoliopsida; Rosales; Rosaceae.